Molecule: long non-coding RNA, 2029 nt
Organism: Gallus gallus (chicken)
Lineage: Eukaryota; Metazoa; Chordata; Aves; Galliformes; Phasianidae
Exons: 3
Source: RefSeq, a predicted model, not a curated record
GGCUGAUGGAGCGGCGGCAGGCUGGGCACCAGAGCUGCGCUGGCCCAGCUUGGCAAGCAGAAGAUGACCUCAGUGACCAGAGUUCAAAACAAAGAACAAGACUGAAGAAAGUCUCACCCUGAGUGACUGGCUGCUGUCCAUACAUAUUCUUUAAAAACAAAGGUGCUUUCAAUGCACAGGGACAGAGGAUAAAAGAAUAAACAUGAUGGUGCCUUGCAUUUCAAAAGAAUCUCUUUGCAAAUGCUUCUGAUCUACCGAGGGCUAAUAUUCUCCAGUUCUGCCUUCCUUUCCAGGAGGAAUGCAGUGACACUGAGUUUGAAAUCUAAUUGGUGAAUGGGACUUCAGGAGCAAGGGGGAAGUCUUCUCUUUUUGCCCUAGCAGAGAUGAAGGUCCCCUGGCUGGAGCCCAAGACAGGGCUGUCUGUCUGCCUGUGCCACCACACAAUGCCAGACGUCAGACUCUCUCUCAGACUGCUGAAAACAUCUCAGCCUGGUGACUUCCUCUCUCAGCCUUGUUGGCUGUUCGAAAAGAUCAUCAAGUUGAGCACACCAGCACCCAUGACACUUUUCACCUUCCUCAGUACCGUGGGUGACCUCUGGAUUCCUGAGCUCACCAUAGCCAAAAAUCUGUACAGCUCUCUCCUUGGGAGAUCUGUCUGGGUCAUCAGCCCAGAAAGAUAGUUGCCAGGGCACAUGGAUGAUGAGACUGCUGUAUACCCAUCCAAUGGGCCUCUAGGAUUGCCUGCAGUGUCGAUGGCUCCUGAACCCCACCUAAGAGAAGAACUCCCUGCCUUCACUGGUCUCACAUGCAAUAUUGAUCAACAAACAUGUGAGCAUCCAUGGCAAGCACUGCUAGAGCACUGACAAGUGUGCAUCUCCCAGCCAGUACAGCCUUCAUCGUGGUACACAACUGGACUUACCCAAGACAAGGACAGCUACCAACAGCUGACUUUUAUCAUACAGGACUGCUUCAGGACUGCACUCCAUUGCUGUGAAUGGCAAUGAUUCACUGUCCCAAAAAGCCUUUUGAAGCUUGUUGGCUCGUUCACCAGUGUUACAGUCCCUAACAUGAGCAUAUGUUGUGAAGCCGCAGAGGAAGGGUCAAUGUUAGUGGAUGAGCUGACCCUGCUUGUCCUGUGCUCAGCCUCUGAUCUGAUGGAACACUCUCUAGCUUAGGUGUGGCAACCAUAUCUCUGUUAGUGUGGUAUUGAGCUAGAGAUGGUUCAAGCUGAGUGCUAUUCCUGUGAUCUCACCCACAAGACCUUCCUUCCUUUCUGGUAAAAACUGAGCUCUGUGUGUACUGAAAAAAGUAGUCCAGAUCCAACUCAGCUAUUCUGGGGGAACAGGAGGAUUCAAGACUGCUCUCCAUCAAAGGUCUGGCAAAAGAAAAACAGAAAAACAGCCAAAAGCAGUGACGUACACAAACCCCAAAUCUCCUGGGUUCACUGGAGUUUUUAAGAACGUAGAAGUAUCUCCUAAGGCAGAUGGAAAUAUCCCUUCUUCUACCCACUGUCCUGGUGGGAUCUGAUCCCCCACGUGGGAUCUGUACAAGUUUCUUUAUCAUCACAAUCUGUCUCCAUCCCUCAGUUCCCUCAUGCCGUUCAGAGAAGUUUGUCCAUACAGAAUAUUUGUCAAUACUCCAAAUAAACGGCAUCAUGCUUCCUUGUUUCUCUCUCUGUAUCUCCCUGUUCCUGACAUAAGUGAAAAUCCUACUGGGCAGGACAGUUCUUUCUUACUGUAUUUGUACAACAGGUAGCCUGUUGGCUUUGUGGUCUGUUAUUGGGAACACUGCCAGCAGUGCUGACUUUUUGGUGAAGAUGAAUAAUAGAAUUUUCUAGCAUGCCAUUGUUUUUCCAAUAAAUUUCUCACAUGUUGCAUUAAAUAUGUACACAAUUUGUGGCUCAGGUCCCUUUGAUUUAUGCUUUCGGGGGAAGGAUACACUCAAACAAAAAUGCCCUUCUGAAAUGUGAUGACAUAGUCUUGCCCAACAGAUGAAGUGGAAAUGGAGCAGCACUAUAAAGCACUAAGUG